GAACUCAGAAAAGUACCUACAGCCUGCAGAUUCGCACCUGUCCCUUUCAUAUACUAGCCGUGUUCUUCGCCUCUUGAUAGCCACCGCAGUUGAGAGAAUACCUAGAUUUGAUAACUUCAGGUCAGAGUGACAUUGGUGAGAGCUUUUGAGAUUGUGUCCAUUUAACCAAACUCAAGUCACUGUGGGAAAUUUGCUUUCUUAUCUUUUUGGUCAUUUUGAUGCCUUCUUUGAAGAACAUAAUGGCUCCAGUCUCACUCCCAAGUUAGUUGUAAAAAGAGAUGUUAUCUAAACGCAAAGUACUAUUCUGUUCAGUGAAAUCCUUUUUUCCUUCGGUGAAAUCUUUUAUAUCACCAAGUGAAUCCAUCUGUAAGCUACCUGUCUAAAAUUGGGGAGAAAAUGGCCAGCAGCAACUCCCUUUAAACAAGUGUCAUAGAGUAGAGCUGACACUGCAUGUCUCAUUGUCAUUUGAAUGCAUCUCAUGUCUCAUCCCACUUUCUAUUUUUUCUUUUUAAAAUCAUCAGUAUUUAAAUCUCAUUAUUUUAACUAUAUCCAAUUAAAUGUACUUGCAUAAUCAGUAUACUUUGUUACAUGCAUUAGUAAAGAGAGCACUUUUAGAUGCUUUGCAUACUGGCUUUCUCAACGUAUUAAAUUUGCAUACCUUAAAAUAGGUUUCAUGUAGAAGUUUCAGAAAACACAUGUGACAGGUAUAUAAAUCAGAUGCCAUAUGCUUUACUUGUUAAAAUAUGUUUGUAAAAGGUCUUUCCUCAUGUCUUAAUUUGGCUUCCUUCUUUAAAUUAUUUUUGUAGCACCCUUUCUGUAACCUAGAUGUUUGUUCAAAGUGAAAAUAAAAUACCGGCAAGAGAAAAUUUUCACAUAUGUAUGUAUUUGGAAGAAUUCUUGUUCUGUAAAAUGCUUCACAGUUUUUAAGCACUGAGUAGUUAAUAAUUGCUGUUCAUCAGGGUAUUAGGCAGUGUGAUACGUGGGGCACCCAUGAGCAUGAGAGUCACUGCCAUUUGUUAGUGGUGGUUCUGGCAGGGUGCUGAAUCCUUUGAGCAUGGCAGCCUCACCUGCACAGUGAGGACAAGAUUAAUACCUACUUAUUGUGUAAGUGAUUAUGCUGUCAAUAUUGAUUUAUAACUUUUACAUUACAGAGUACAGUGAUGUUUAAUACUUAAGUUACUCAUCUGAAAUAUUUUAAAGUUGCCUAUGAACUUUUCAUGGCAUUAGUCCCAGAAGAGAGAACUAAAAUAGCUUUUCCUAACAAGCUUUCAUCACUGUUGCCUCAGCGUUCUCAACUACAAAGAAAAGACUGGCAUGGACUAAGAGAGAGAUGAAGACAGGCUGCUGGUUCUCCACCAAAUGGUUAAGAUCCACAGGAGAUCAGCAAGCUGAUAUGUUGUUUAGUGGCAAGAAGUGGAAAACAGUGAGUUCAGCAUCACCCUUCCAUACGUCACAGAAUUCAUGUUGUUGACAAAUAUUUGGAUCAAACUAAUUUUUACUACCUUAAGUUAAAUUAGCAUUAAGCCCACCAAGCAUGUAAUUUAUGUAGCAUUUUUUGGAUUUUAUAGUUGAACAGUAUUACUGUUAGUAAAUUUAGCAAUCUGUCAUAUAUAUAGUAGCCAAUUGUUAAAUACUUCUGUGAAUUUUGUUACCUCGUUACAGUAACAAAAACAGGGUAUUAUUUGGAAAAUAUUUGGGCAGGAAAGAAGAUAGCAGCUGGUUUGUCCAUUAUGGUGAGCAUGUGGAAUACUGAGUGUGUGCAGGUGCCAAUGCUUCUGUUGGAGUUCUAGCAAGCGCACACACUUUCAUUGGUAUUGGUAUGCAUAAUAGAUAAAAUGCCAACCGUCUGCUUGGACUCCUAAAAGUCUUUUUGUAUAUAAUAAAUUUAUGUGAACUUCCAAAA
Mesocricetus auratus (golden hamster) is the source of this 1903-nucleotide long non-coding RNA. RefSeq lists it as uncharacterized. The record is from RefSeq and is a predicted model, not a curated record. Lineage: Eukaryota; Metazoa; Chordata; Mammalia; Rodentia; Cricetidae. The transcript has 3 exons.